AAGUGUGGAGUGCUCCAGAUGCAGGAUCCGAAACAGCCUGUGAAAAUUUGAACGAUAUAUGCUAGGACCUUAUGGCGAACGCAUAUUCGUAAAAGAUGACCAAUACCCACCCGGCUUCACGCUAGAAAAUCGAUUGCAAAUGCUGAAAUGCAUGCAAGGACAAGAAGGCCGUUUGAUUAUCAAACUCAUUUCCAAGAAUAAAUAAAUGCAUUCCUUCUAACUCUGCGUGUGCCUAAUUUUCGUUAAGUAAAAGUAUCUGUUAUGCACAACCACUAUCUGAUAAAGUCUUACAAUACCUAUUAUUUUCUAACUCAAAAUAGGAAAAAUGCCGAAUGGUCUCUCCAAAAAUACAGCCAGUAAAUGUUUGUACGUUUAAUUUAGCAUGGGUAUUUCGGAGUGCACGCGUCCUUGUGUGGGGCAUGCAUGCAAGCACUAUUCUAUGGAUGGACACCUCCCUCUCUAGAAGGCCCACUUUUUUUUAUAUAUAUUUAGGUAACGCUUGCCUAUUUUGUAAGCCGACACGUAGCAAGUAUGUGUCUCUUUGAUGGGGCAUCCUGUUAAUCUCUCCUACUGCUUAAACACUAUAAAUAGGGGAGGUUCCCUUCUUCUGCAAUCAGUUCCUAUAGUUACUAAACCAUCAAAGCAUGCUCCAUGGUCUCUGAGCACACACCAAGAUGGACUUGCCUCUCCUCAAAGAUAUCAACAAGCAAUCAUUUAGAUGGAAAGUUAUGGCCAGGAUCGCAAGAGUCUGGGAGCUCAAAAGAAAAGACACAGGAACUACCUAUGAGGUGGACUUCCUGCUGCUUGAUCGACAGGGUGGCACAAUGGAAGGUUUGAUUCCAGAGAAGAGAAUGGCCCAAUUUAUGAAGCACAUCACCGAGGGAACAAUUUAUACAAUUGAGGACUUCAAUCUAUAUGAUGCCAAGAGCAAGUUUAGAUCUUCAGAUCACCCCCUCAGGGUAUGUUUCACAUUUCGCACUAAGCUUAAAAAAGUGGAGCCCCAACCCGUGAAUUUCCCAAUAUUUGCCCACAACGACAGGCCAUUCUCUGUUCUGGAAGCACGUGCUGAUCAGAACUUCAUCUUAUCAGAUGUUAUUGGAGUAAUCGUGCAAGUCACAGAACUCUUGCCAGGCUCCAGCGCAAACCCUGAUGAGCGCUGUCAGAUCUACAUCACUGAUGGAAACCAGCGGGCUGUGGUGACACUUUGGGGGACACACGCCACUACUUUCAACACCGCGGGCCUCGUGGAGAGCUCUGCCACGCAGCAUAUCGUUGCUCUUUUUGUAGGUGUUACAGUGAGUCACUAUUCAGGUUUACUCGCUUUCAAAUCGACAUCAGUGACCAAAUUAUAUGUUAACAUCCCAAUACCAGAAAUGGAGACCGUCAGACACAACGUGACAGGUAUUCCAUCCCAGAUUGAAUGGUUUGGUAACCAUCGAGCAAGAAAAGAGCCGGUAGAUGCAAGAAUAGCAGAAAUUGCUGAGCUUGAACCCAACCACAUCAUGGACGAACGCUACAGAUUUUCAAUUCUUGUCACUGAAGUUAUCCUAUCAAGUGACUGGUGGUACAAAAGUUGCAAAGACUGUCGAAAGAAAGUUCAAAUGGAAGGCGACACGUAUAAAUGCUCACGUUGCAUCACCACUGUUCCUAUGCCGAGAUACAAAAUAUCACUGAAUGCCAUCGAUGCGGACGCAAAAAGGCACGAAGACUCGCCAUUUGCUCGGUUCAUAUUUUGGGGCCAGCAGGGAGAAAUCCUCACAGGAAAGCAAGUACUGAUUUUAGUAGCAUAAGCCAACAGCAGGGCGGAGUAUACGCCACCCGAACUGACCGGUUUGGUUGGCAAAAAAUUUACUGUCAUUGCAACACCUACUAGAGACUCCCUAGACGGAGAGCAUAUGUUCUACCAGGUAGAAAGUACCGAACUAUUGUUCGAGCCAGCAAACCCAGAGAACGCUCAACCACCGACCGAAGAAACACAGGGUGAAAAUGAAUCACAAGACAACACGCUUGAGGCCACACCCCCGCCUUCUCCUUCUGCUGCAAAGGAAGAAGAAAACGACUCAACAGAACAAAGAAAGACCUAUUCGGUCAGCAGCCAGCCCACGCUGGCACCGAGUACACCGACCAGAACUAGGCACCUUGUAUGGGGAAAAAAUUCUGUGCGGACGGGUUGCAGACCCCUCGCUGUGCAUACCCUGUGUGAGAUGAUGCCACGUGGUCCACCUCGCCAUCCGACGAUUCACUGCUCAUCCGCUCGCUUCCUUGGUUCUCUCGGCUCAAGCGCCCUUACGUUCGGCUCCAAAACUGCCCAUCUACGUGCGAUCCUGGCUUCCGUCAAUUACGCAGUGAUUGAUUUCGAACAGAUACGGGUAGCUUCUGCUUUUUCGGUGCAGCGGCGAUUAGAUCAUGAAUUUUUCAUGGUCGAGCGACCGGAACACUGUCCUCUACGCGAUUGGAUUAGCGGCCAGUUCGCCGGCUCGACGCUCACUGGAGCGGACGGAACGGUAACCAUCUCCGCCGCGCGCCCAACGCGUCCUCUCCCUCCCAUAACCGGAUCGGGCCGGAGUAACAGCCGCGGCAGCCACGGGUCGUGCUGCAGCAGUCUAAUCGGCAUCUCAGAGUGGAGAAGGUUGGGAGUGGCCAUGGCGGAAUCUGACACCGUCGCCUCCAAGGGCGACCAUGGUGGUUCUUCUUCUGGCUUGCAGCACAUAAACAUUAAACCUCGUUGAUGAGAACAAUUGCUCCUCCACCUUGUAUCUUUCGACGUCUAUGAUGUCGCAGGCCACGACAUGUACUAUGGAUCUGCCGUGAGUCAUGUCAGCAGGAGGACACGGCCACCAUGACAGGAGAAGGAGGCCAGCAAGAUGACGCGUUCAGUCCUGACUUCAACUGAAGUUUAGGGCUAGACAAAAAUUAGCAUCCUCGCUGUGGUUGAAUAGCAAAUGAGAGAAACCAGAGAAACAAUUAUAAAUGUUUAACUACAGAUUUAUGAAGACAUCCAGAUAACAGAUGCAGACUUUUUUUUGCACGAAAUCAAAAGACAUUCCAUUAGCUAUUAUUUA
Triticum aestivum (bread wheat) is the source of this 3062-nucleotide RNA transcript. RefSeq lists it as uncharacterized. The transcript has 10 exons. The record is from RefSeq and is a predicted model, not a curated record. NCBI's taxonomy places the organism in Eukaryota, Viridiplantae, Streptophyta, Magnoliopsida, Poales, Poaceae.